GUAUGCAACCUACCUUGUACAGGGGGAUAGCCCGGAGAAAUCCGGAUUAAUACCGCAUAAUAUGAUUGAUUCGCAUGGAUUAAUUAUUAAACUUUCGGGGGUACAAGAUGGGCAUGCGUAGCAUUAGUUAGUUGGUAAGGUAACGGCUUACCAAGACGAUGAUGCUUAGGGGGUCUGAGAGGAUAGUCCCCCACACUGGUACUGAGACACGGACCAGACUCCUACGGGAGGCAGCAGUGAGGAAUAUUGGUCAAUGGGCGCAAGCCUGAACCAGCCAUGUCGCGUGCAGGAUGACGGCCCUAUGGGUUGUAAACUGCUUUUUUACGGGAAUAAUUGUCGCUACGUGUAGUGAUUUGAAGGUACCGUAUGAAUAAGGAUCGGCUAACUCCGUGCCAGCAGCCGCGGUAAUACGGAGGAUUCGAGCGUUAUCCGGAUUUAUUGGGUUUAAAGGGUCCGUAGGCGGGCAAUUAAGUCAGUGGUGAAAUCCCAGAGCUCAACUCUGGAACUGCCAUUGAUACUGGUUGUCUUGAAUUUAGUUGAGGUGGGCGGAAUACGUUAUGUAGCGGUGAAAUGCAUAGAUAUAACGUAGAACACCGAUUGCGAAGGCAGCUCACUAAACUAAUAUGACGCUGAUGACGAAGGCCCUCCCC
Molecule: ribosomal RNA, 650 nt
Filed under: Marinifilum flexuosum
Lineage: Bacteria; Pseudomonadati; Bacteroidota; Bacteroidia; Marinilabiliales; Marinifilaceae
Description: bacterial SSU rRNA
Rfam family: Bacterial small subunit ribosomal RNA
Source: RNAcentral